Long non-coding RNA from Myotis myotis, 519 nucleotides. RefSeq lists it as uncharacterized. The transcript has 3 exons. Lineage: Eukaryota; Metazoa; Chordata; Mammalia; Chiroptera; Vespertilionidae. The record is from RefSeq and is a predicted model, not a curated record.
CAGGGAGGUGAGGGGAGAGCAGCACCUCAUCAAACAGCAGGAAACGAGGGUAAUGAUGGUUGCCAAGGUGAUCAAAAUCCAGCCCAGCAUCUUCAUGUAAUUAUUUAAAAGGAAAACAGAAAGCAUCAAUGCUUCGAAUAUUCAAGAAAUAGCCAUAGUAAGAGGGAUUCCCCACAAAACAGGACCAAACUGUGGACAAGAUAUAGUUUCUGGACGUAGUACUGAGCACUUUAGAUAUAUUAGCUGAUUUAUUCCUCACACCGAUUCUAUGCAGUUGAUCCCAUUAAUAUCCCCAUUUUACAUCUGAGAAAAGUGAAGCAUGGAGAAGCUACCUAACUUGCUGAAGGUUUUGCAGGUUACUAAACAGCAAAGCAAGACUUAAACCCAGACAAUAUGAGCAGCAGCCGGAUGUGAAACAUUUCCCAUGAUAGUUACUAUGGGAGAGGAUAACAGGGAAAAAAAAUCAAGAACUUACUUGUGACUGGAAUCUGUGCAGAAGAGCUACUUCAUCUCUUACCA